Molecule: ribosomal RNA, 496 nt
Filed under: uncultured bacterium
Lineage: Bacteria
Description: partial 16S ribosomal RNA
Rfam family: Bacterial small subunit ribosomal RNA
Source: RNAcentral
AUUGAACGCUGGCGGCAUGCCUAACAUAUGCAAGUCGCACGCGAAAGGGGGCAACCCUGAGUAGAGUGGCGGACGGGUGAGUAACGCGUAGGAAUCUGCCUGGUAGUGGGGGACAACCCGGUGAAAACCGGGCUAAUACCGCAUACGAUCCACGGAUGAAAGCAGGGGACCGCAAGGCCUUGCGCUAUCAGAUGAGCCUGCGUCGGAUUAGCUAGUUGGUGGGGUAAAGGCCCACCAAGACGACGAUCCGUAGCUGGUUUGAGAGAACGACCAGCCACACUGGGACUGAGACACGGCCCAGACUCCUACGGGAGGCAGCAGUGGGGAAUAUUGGACAAUGGGGGCAACCCUGAUCCAGCAAUGCCGCGUGUGUGAAGAAGGCCUUCGGGUUGUAAAGCACUUUCGGUGGGGACAAACAAGGUGGAGCUAACAUCUCCGCCUCUGAUGGUACCCAAAGAAGAAGCACCGGCUAACUCUGUGCCAGCCGCCGCCGUAA